CCUCCCCAGCCACGUGGAACUACCACUCGGCCCUGAGUGCGGCGAGGACCCUGUUUGUGGAUGUGGAGGAGCGCGGGCCGGAGGCCAUGGACGUGAAGGAGAGGAAGCCUUACCGCUCGCUGACCCGGCGCCGCGACGCCGAGCGCCGCUACACCAGCUCGUCCGCGGACAGCGAGGAGGGCAAAGCCCCGCAGAAAUCCUACAGCUCCAGCGAGACCCUGAAGGCCUACGACCAGGACGCCCGCCUAGCCUAUGGCAGCCGCGUCAAGGACAUUGUGCCGCAGGAGGCCGAGGAAUUCUGCCGCACAGGCCUGUAUCCAUGUGAAAGCUGACCUGUUCUGCCUGUGAGGCUUGAAAAAUGAGCAGUCCCUUUCCCAGCUUAUGGUUAAGGCUCCAACUCUGGCAUCAAACAGACCUAGAUUUGAAUUGUGGCUCUGCCAUUUUUAGUAUUCUCAGCUACUUUACCUGUGCAAAGGGAUAAACAGUACCUAAUAGGUGGUGAGGAUUGAUGAGAACUAUAAAUGAAACACUUGACACCAGUACCUGGCACAGAACAGAUGCUUCAGAAAUGCUGCCUGUUAUUAAUUGUCAUCUCUGGAUCUCACUGAAGAGAAGAGACAAAAUGGUCUCUGAAAGCUUUUCUUUUGCCCCGUCCUGUCCGUAAGUGACAGAGCUCAGUGAGCCCCGGUUGGCUUGGACCUAGCACAUGAGGCUCAGGGAAGGGGCGGCUCCUUGUCUUUGUAAAUAACAAAUAAGCAUUCUCAUCUCACAGGCAGGCAUGUGCGUAGCAGUUUACAAAAUACUCUCCUUCAAAUUAUCACCCUGGAUCCUCAAAAAUCCUUUGAAGGUAGCAGGUCAUAGAU
Molecule: small RNA, 863 nt
Filed under: Pan troglodytes (chimpanzee)
Lineage: Eukaryota; Metazoa; Chordata; Mammalia; Primates; Hominidae
Description: processed transcript
Source: RNAcentral